AGCCAGACCGCAUGCCGGCCACCUGCCCGCACCUCCAGCCGCGCGCGGCCCGAGAGGAGGGGGCCACUGGCUCGGUGCGCUCGAGCUUCUCCGCCCUCUCCCUGCGGACCCCGGACGCGCACCCCAUCGCCGCCCGGCCACUGCAGGGCCUGGGGUUUCCUCCUCUCGGGCUCUCCACGUCCCGCCUCCUCCGCACUGGGCCAGAGAGGGACAUCGAUGAGGCGGAGAUGCCUCUUGGGAGUCCAUCUUCCCGGUCUGUGCAAGAUCCAUCUCCACUUCAUGCAGCACCUUCAUCCUCGCCAGCGUGGGCAGCCGUCCUUCCCCAGAGUGCGAGGAUUUGCGAAGAGAAGAGGAGAGAGGAGUGGAACCCCCGUCGCCCCGCCUGAAAGGUGGUUUUCUGGCUGCGGUGACUUUAGAGUUUCUUUAAGAGUAUAGGUGCGCGCGCGCACACACAUCUGCAGCAGUUGUGAGUGGCCUUGAAUUGUCCAGAGGAAGAAUGAAUGAGAUGUAAACGUGAGAGAAAGGUUUCCUUGCCUCUGGAGGUCCUGGAAAGUGAGUGACCUGGAGCGCUGAGAGUGAUGUACACUCCCCCGGGACACGGUGCGGGCGCGAGUGGGGAGACUGGACGUACCAACCUCCCGCAACUGUCCGCGAUUGGGCAGGUGCGCAGCGCGCGUGCGCUCUCGGGUCCGCUUGCCGUCUCCGCGGUGCAGAGAGGUGGCGCGGCACACGAGAUGAUGAUCUUGCUGCCCAGGGUCUGGCAGAGCCCAAGAGUCCCGGAAACUGGGCUCCUGGAAACUUAAGGUUAUUUCAUUCACGGUGUAACAAUCAGGAAGCCAUUUCAUCUUCUGUAACUGGACUCAGGGAGCUUAAAGAGCCCGUUCUCCCCUCUCCUCUCAAAACUGACUUACUGUUGCCCCCACCUGGAAGAUAUUAAAAGUUAUUCGCGCAGAAUAUAAACUGUAGGCUUCCCCCGCCUCUUUUCUUAAUUUCAUUUUUUAAAUAACUUAUUUUGGAAGAUCCAAAUCUGGAAAUUUUGUGCAUUAAAAUUUCCAGGAAAGUUGUUUGGUAAGCAGUAACAUUUCUCCCGUACCUCCAGUCCAAAUACAUUUCGAAAUUAGGAGCAGAAAAUAAAGCAGUGUUGGUAAUUGAUUCCAGAUUUUAUACUGUGAAACAACUAAUGACUUUCCAUUAUCUGAUAAAAUAGAAAAAUAGUGCCCAAAGAUGAAAUUGACAAGUCUUUCUUCCUUUGAUUAUAA
RNAcentral lists this long non-coding RNA (1259 nucleotides) under Equus caballus (horse). RNAcentral describes it as "lncRNA (ENSECAG00000051448.1)". The record is from RNAcentral. Lineage: Eukaryota; Metazoa; Chordata; Mammalia; Perissodactyla; Equidae.